GACAGAGGUGCCAAGCGUUAGGCGGAAUCACUGGGCUUAAAGCGUGUGUAGGCGGACUCCUAAGUACUUUGUGAAAUCCCACGGCUCAACCGUGGAACUGCUUGGUAUACUGGGAGUCUUGAGCCAGCUAGGGGCUACCGGAACAAAUGGUGGAGCGGUGAAAUGCGUAGAUAUCAUUUGGAACGCCAAUGGUGAAAACAGGUAGCUGGGGCUGUGCUGACGCUGAGACACGAAAGCCAGGGGAGCGAACGGG
Molecule: ribosomal RNA, 253 nt
Filed under: uncultured bacterium
Lineage: Bacteria
Description: partial 16S ribosomal RNA
Rfam family: Bacterial small subunit ribosomal RNA
Source: RNAcentral